Long non-coding RNA from Triticum dicoccoides, 591 nucleotides. RefSeq lists it as uncharacterized. The record is from RefSeq and is a predicted model, not a curated record. The transcript has 3 exons. Lineage: Eukaryota; Viridiplantae; Streptophyta; Magnoliopsida; Poales; Poaceae.
GCAUAGAACUAGCGAGAUCUGCGAAUUGCAUAAUCGAUGGCAGCGGCUCUUGGAUUUGCUGCGAGAAGGAUGUGCAGUCGUGCCCUUCAGCGACCACCGCAGCCGUAUUUUUCGGCGGUCGCCUAAGUUGCCAUCAAGGGGGAACAGCGGGGGCUGUUGCCGAGGGUUAGCCAUGGCGGGAGCUCUCUUCGCCGGUUCUCCGCAGAAUCUCAAAGUCACUUGAAGAAUAGCGAGCAUGGAGCUGUAUCCACCGCAAAUCCGGUCGGGUCUUCUCCAUUAACCAAUAAUGCACAAACCACGCCCCCUCCACCACUAUGGUCGCCUAGGAACAAAAAGUUUUUACCCCUUGCUGCUGGGUACUUCACUUUUGUGUGUGCAGCAAUGUCAGCAGUACUUUACUGGGAUACUCGCCCUCUAGUAUUGGACACUGAGACGAAGCAGUCUGAUUAAUGUUCAACCUUCGAAGACCUAUGCUUCGGAAAAAGCAGAAUAAGUGGAGUUGUUGCGGAUGUAAGAACUGUUAUUAAAGUAUUCCUAGUUGCUGAUGUAAGGACUGUUAAAGUGAUUCUAGUUGCGGAUGUAAGAACUUUG